Molecule: ribosomal RNA, 700 nt
Filed under: uncultured bacterium
Lineage: Bacteria
Description: bacterial SSU rRNA
Rfam family: Bacterial small subunit ribosomal RNA
Source: RNAcentral
AGAGUUUGAUCAUGGCUCAGUCUCUACCUGACGGGGCGGCAGGCCUAACACAUGCAAGUCGAGAGGCCUUCACACACUAGAAAGGCUUGCUAUCUGUUUCAGCGGCGGACGGGUGAGUAAUGCCUAGGAAUCUGCCUGGUAGUGGGGGACAACGUUUCGAAAGGAACGCUAAUACCGCAUACGUCCUACGGGAGAAAGUGGGGGAUCUUCGGACCUCACGCUAUCAGAUGAGCCUAGGUACGAUUAGCUAGUUGGUGAGGUAAAGGCUCACCAAGGCGACGAUCGUUAACUGGUCUGAGAGGAUGAUCAGUCACACUGGAACUGAGACACGGUCCAGACUCCUACGGGAGGCAGCAGUGGGGAAUAUUGGACAAUGGGCGAAAGCCUGAUCCAGCCAUGCCGCGUGUGUGAAGAAGGUCUUCGGAUUGUAAAGCACUUUAAGUUGGGAGGAAGGGCAGUAAGCUAAUACCUUGCUGUUUUGACGUUACCAACAGAAUAAGCACCGGCUAACUUCGUGCCAGCAGCCGCGGUAAUACGAAGGGUGCAAGCGUUAAUCGGAAUUACUGGGCGUAAAGCGCGCGUAGGUGGUUUUGUAAGUUGGAGGUGAAAUCCCCGGGCUCAACCUGGGAACUGCCUCCAAAACUGCAUGACUAGAGUACGGUAGAGGGUGGUGGAAUUUCCUGUGUAGCGGUGAAAUGCG